This 81-nucleotide transfer RNA is filed under the name Ancylobacter defluvii. RNAcentral's name for it is "tRNA-Arg". The record is from RNAcentral. Lineage: Bacteria; Pseudomonadati; Pseudomonadota; Alphaproteobacteria; Hyphomicrobiales; Xanthobacteraceae.
GCGGCGCUGGCCGGCGGCAAGCGGCUGCGGCCGUUCCUGGUGAUCGAAAGCGCGGCGCUGUUCGGCGUGCCGAUGUCGCGC